UACAGAGGUCUCAAGCGUUGCUCGGAAUCACUGGGCGUAAAGGGUGCGUAGGCGGGUCUUUAAGUCAGGGGUGAAAUCCUGGAGCUCAACUCCAGAACUGCCUUUGAUACUGAAGAUCUUGAGUUCGGGAGAGGUGAGUGGAACUGCGAGUGUAGAGGUGAAAUUCGUAGAUAUUCGCAAGAACACCAGUGGCGAAGGCGGCUCACUGGCCCGAUACUGACGCUGAGGCACGAAAGCGUGGGGAGCAAACAGGG
RNAcentral lists this ribosomal RNA (254 nucleotides) under uncultured bacterium. RNAcentral's name for it is "partial 16S ribosomal RNA". It matches the Rfam family "Bacterial small subunit ribosomal RNA", at positions 524 to 777 of the family's 1533-position model. The record is from RNAcentral.